UACGAAGGGGGCUAGCGUUGCUCGGAAUCACUGGGCGUAAAGGGCGCGUAGGCGGUGCUAUAAGUCUGUGGUGAAAUCUCUGGGCUCAACUCAGAGUCUGCCAUAGAAACUGUAGUGCUAGAGUGUGGGAGAGGUGAGUGGAAUUCCCGGUGUAGAGGUGAAAUUCGUAGAUAUCGGGAGGAACACCGGUGGCGAAGGCGGCGAUCUGGGUCGAUACUGACGCUGAGGUGACGAAAGCGUGGGGGAGCAAACAGG
This 255-nucleotide ribosomal RNA is filed under the name uncultured bacterium. RNAcentral describes it as "partial 16S ribosomal RNA". It matches the Rfam family "Bacterial small subunit ribosomal RNA", at positions 524 to 776 of the family's 1533-position model. The record is from RNAcentral.